AGGGACUGGGAGACAUGGGGACACAGACGUGCCCCCUUUUUGUGUAUGUUCGCCCCUUUCAGCAGAAUGCUUAUGUGAUUUGUGUCAGUGGCCCACCCUUUUAACCCAUCCAUAGACUUCCUGCUUUACUGGACACUUCUGUUAGGGUGUAUGGGUUUACUUGAAAGAUGAAAGUGUGAGAUUAGCAUAGUGAAUGUGUUUUCUCAUAGCUGCAUCCUAUGAGUUUCCCUCCAGCACCAUCUCCAUCAGAUACAUGAUGCUUCGGAGGUAGGACUAUUAGUCAAUAGGAUUUUGUAAUUAGGCCCAUCAUAAUUGUCAGCACCAGGCCCACUGGGCUCUUAAUCUGGC
Non-coding RNA from Pelobates cultripes (western spadefoot toad), 348 nucleotides. Lineage: Eukaryota; Metazoa; Chordata; Amphibia; Anura; Pelobatidae. The record is from the annotation of a GenBank genome assembly.